AAGUAGAUAGAGUGAUUUCGUCUUACAGUCCCUGUGGAUACGAUAUCCGAUUGCUGUUUAUACUACGAUUACACCGUGUUAGUUGCAUCAACUUUUUGGCGCCGUUGCCGGGGAUUGUUUAGAUUUUGCUUUAAUAUUUCCAAUAGGACUUAAUAGUACUGCAAGUUUUAUUUGUUUUUAUUUUUGUUUUCUAACUUUUAUAAGUUGUGUUUCUGUAGGUUGCAUAUGAACACAAGAUCUCACGGAAAUCCUCUCGUUGAGUUUGAUCCUGAAAUCAACAAGACCCUGCGCAAUCUAAAGAAGCAGAACGAUCAAUUUGAGGCAGAUACGAUGGCUACUCCUGAGCAAAUCCAAAUUCGAGCUCUGCAAGAGCAAUUGAAGAAGCUGCUUGAUGCACAGGAGACGAGAGAGGCUCAGAAACAACCAGCAAUCAAUGAAGCGUUCAUACCACAGUAUGUGUACCAGGAGCCCCCAAGAGUGAACGUCAACAACUUUGAGCUGAAAACGGGUCU
This 512-nucleotide long non-coding RNA is filed under the name Salvia miltiorrhiza (redroot sage). Its description in RNAcentral is "long non-coding RNA (SMIL_LNC004370)". The record is from RNAcentral. Lineage: Eukaryota; Viridiplantae; Streptophyta; Magnoliopsida; Lamiales; Lamiaceae.